Molecule: ribosomal RNA, 464 nt
Filed under: uncultured Alphaproteobacteria bacterium
Lineage: Bacteria; Pseudomonadati; Pseudomonadota; Alphaproteobacteria
Description: bacterial SSU rRNA
Rfam family: Bacterial small subunit ribosomal RNA
Source: RNAcentral
GAGUUUGAUCCUGGCUCAGAACGAACGCUGGCGGCAGGCUUAACACAUGCAAGUCGAACGCCCCGCAAGGGGAGUGGCAGACGGGUGAGUAACGCGUGGGAACAUGCCUUUCGGUUCGGAAUAGUCCCGGGAAACUGGGGUUAAUACCGGAUGCGCCCUUCGGGGGAAAGAUUUAUCGCCGAAAGAUUGGCCCGCGUCUGAUUAGCUAGUUGGCGGUGUAAUGGACCACCAAGGCGACGAUCAGUAGCUGGUCUGAGAGGAUGAUCAGCCACACUGGGACUGAGACACGGCCCAGACUCCUACGGGAGGCAGCAGUGGGGAAUAUUGGACAAUGGGCGCAAGCCUGAUCCAGCCAUGCCGCGUGAGUGAUGAAGGCCUUAGGGUUGUAAAGCUCUUUCGGCGGGGACGAUAAUGACGGUACCCGCAGAAGAAGCCCCGGCUAACUUCGUGCCAGCCGCCGCAGU